RNAcentral lists this ribosomal RNA (435 nucleotides) under uncultured bacterium. RNAcentral's name for it is "partial 16S ribosomal RNA". It matches the Rfam family "Bacterial small subunit ribosomal RNA", at positions 29 to 507 of the family's 1533-position model. The record is from RNAcentral.
AGCGAACGCUGGCGGCAGGCUUAACACAUGCAAGUCGAACGGGCUUCUUCGGAAGUCAGUGGCAGACGGGUGAGUAACACGUGGGAACGUGCCCUUCGGUUCGGAAUAACUCAGGGAAACUUGAGCUAAUACCGGAUACGCCCUUUUGGGGAAAGGUUUACUGCCGAAGGAUCGGCCCGCGUCUGAUUAGCUUGUUGGUGGGGUAACGGCCUACCAAGGCGACGAUCAGUAGCUGGUCUGAGAGGAGGCUUAGCCACACUGGGACUGAGACACGGACCAGACUCCUACGGGAGGCAGCAGUGGGGAAUAUUGGACAAUGGGCGCAAGCCUGAUCCAGCCAUGCCGGGUGAGUGAUGAAGGCCUUAGGGUUGUAAAGCCCUUUUGUACGGGACGAUAAUGACGGUACCGGAAGAAUAAGCCCCGGCUAACUUCGUG